This 248-nucleotide ribosomal RNA is filed under the name uncultured bacterium. RNAcentral's name for it is "partial 16S ribosomal RNA". It matches the Rfam family "Bacterial small subunit ribosomal RNA", at positions 88 to 334 of the family's 1533-position model. The record is from RNAcentral.
CGAAGGAGUGGCGAACGGGUGAGUAAUACAUAAGCAACCUACCCACGAAGACUGGGACAAUCUCUGGAAACGGGGACUAAUACCGGAUAGGUAAUCGGAAGGCAUCUUCUGGUUAUUAAAGGUUAAAAACACUGGUGGAUGGGCUUAUGGCGCAUUAGUUAGUUGGUGAGGUAACGGCCCACCAAGACGAUGAUGCGUAGCCGGCCUGAGAGGGUGAACGGCCACAUUGGGACUGAGACACGGCCCAG